This 254-nucleotide ribosomal RNA is filed under the name uncultured bacterium. RNAcentral describes it as "partial 16S ribosomal RNA". It matches the Rfam family "Bacterial small subunit ribosomal RNA", at positions 524 to 776 of the family's 1533-position model. The record is from RNAcentral.
UACGUAGGAGACGAGCGUUUGUCCGGAAUUACUGGGCGUAAAGCGCGUGUAGGCGGAUGGGCAAGUCUGCUGUGAAAGCUCCUGGCUUAACCGGGAGUGGUCGGUGGAAACUGCCAAUCUGGAGGACGGUAGAGGUAGGUAGAAUUCCCGGUGUAGUGGUGAAAUGCGUAGAGAUCGGGAGGAAUACCUGUGGCGAAGGCGGCCUACUGGGCCGGACCUGACGCUGAGACGCGAAGGCGUGGGGAGCGAACAGG